GCCAUCUCACCUGUACAGUAUCACUUGCAGCUGCUCUGACAACUAAUGCUGUUAGCGCCGUCGCCUUGGUUCUACGUCCUUGAUCAUCAACUACGGGUUUCAUUCUUCCUUGAAACUCUAAGUCUACACUAUUGUUCACUUGAAGGAGGAUGUAUUCACCAUAACCAUUAAAAGUGUAGAAUGUGCCAUCAAAUGUGGACAAGUGCGGAUCUCCCCUUGUAUCCGCUACAACAAAAUUGUAUUUAUUUCUAAAAGACUUCGUUUUGUCAAUUAUAUAUGAUUAAAUUGGUUGCAAU
Molecule: non-coding RNA, 296 nt
Organism: Paramuricea clavata
Lineage: Eukaryota; Metazoa; Cnidaria; Anthozoa; Malacalcyonacea; Plexauridae
Source: the annotation of a GenBank genome assembly